AGCAGUCGCCACGGUAAUACGAAGGGGGCUAGCGUUGCUCGGAAUUACUGGGCGUAAAGGGAGCGUAGGCGGACAUUUAAGUCAGGGGUGAAAUCCCAGAGCUCAACUCUGGAACUGCCUUUGAUACUGGGUGUCUUGAGUGUGAUAGAGGUAUGUGGAACUCCGAGUGUAGAGGUGGAAUUCGUAGAUAUUCGGAAGAACACCAGUGGCGAAGGCGACAUACUGGAUCAUUACUGACGCUGAGGCUCGAAAGCGUGGGGAGCAAACAGGAUUAGAGACCCCUGUAGUCCCUGUCUCUUAUAC
RNAcentral lists this ribosomal RNA (303 nucleotides) under uncultured bacterium. RNAcentral describes it as "partial 16S ribosomal RNA". It matches the Rfam family "Bacterial small subunit ribosomal RNA", at positions 507 to 807 of the family's 1533-position model. The record is from RNAcentral.